RNAcentral lists this ribosomal RNA (581 nucleotides) under uncultured Actinomycetes bacterium. RNAcentral describes it as "bacterial SSU rRNA". It matches the Rfam family "Bacterial small subunit ribosomal RNA", at positions 863 to 1449 of the family's 1533-position model. Lineage: Bacteria; Bacillati; Actinomycetota; Actinomycetes. The record is from RNAcentral.
AGUGCCCCGCCUGGGGAGUACGAUCGCAAGAGUGAAACUCAAAGGAAUUGACGGGGCCCCGCACAAGCAGCGGAGCAUGCGGCUUAAUUCGACGCAACGCGAAGAACCUUACCAAGGCUUGACAUAUACAGGAAUAUGGCAGAGAUGUCAUAGCCGCAAGGUCUGUAUACAGGUGGUGCAUGGUUGUCGUCAGCUCGUGUCGUGAGAUGUUGGGUUAAGUCCCGCAACGAGCGCAACCCUCGUUCUGUGUUGCCAGCAUUUAGUUGGGGACUCACAGGAGACUGCCGGGGUUAACUCGGAGGAAGGUGGGGAUGACGUCAAAUCAUCAUGCCCCUUAUGUCUUGGGCUGCACGCAUGCUACAAUGGCUGGUACAAACGGCUGCAAUACCGCAAGGUGGAGCGAAUCCGAGAAAGCCAGUCUCAGUUCGGAUUGGGGUCUGCAACUCGACCCCAUGAAGUCGGAGUUGCUAGUAAUCGUAGAUCAGCAACGCUACGGUGAUACGUUCCCGGGGCUUGUACACACCGCCCGUCACGUCACGAAAGUCGGUAACACCCGAAGUCAGUGCCCUACCGCAAGGAGG